Molecule: ribosomal RNA, 497 nt
Filed under: uncultured bacterium
Lineage: Bacteria
Description: partial 16S ribosomal RNA
Rfam family: Bacterial small subunit ribosomal RNA
Source: RNAcentral
GAUGAACGCUGGCGGCGUGCCUAAUACAUGCAAGUCGAGCGAACGGACGAGAAGCUUGCUUCUCUGAUGUUAGCGGCGGACGGGUGAGUAACACGUGGAUAACCUACCUAUAAGACUGGGAUAACUUCGGGAAACCGGAGCUAAUACCGGAUAAUAUUUUGAACCGCAUGGUUCAAAAGUGAAAGACGGUCUUGCUGUCACUUAUAGAUGGAUCCGCGCUGCAUUAGCUAGUUGGUAAGGUAACGGCUUACCAAGGCAACGAUGCAUAGCCGACCUGAGAGGGGGAUCGCCCACACGGAAACUGAGACCGGCCCCAGACUCCUAGGGGAGGAGACAGGGGGGAAUCUUCCGCAAGGGGCGAAAGCCGGACGGAGCAACCCCGGGUGAGUGAUGAAGGUCUUCGGAUCGAAAACCUCUUUUAUGGGGAAAAAAAAUAUUUGAAAGAAACUGUCCAAAUCUUGACGGAACCUAAUAAAAAAGCCCCGGCAAACUACGUG